AACGAACGCUGGCGGCGCGCCUAAUACAUGCAAGUCGAGCGAGAAGACGUAGCAAUACGUUUGUAAAGCGGCGAACGGGUGAGGAAUACAUGGGUAACCUACCCUCGAGUGGGGAAUAACUAGCCGAAAGGUUAGCUAAUACCGCGUACGCUCCUUGGACUUCGGUUCAGGGAGGAAAGCGAUACCGUGGGUAUCGCGCUCUUGGAUGGGCUCAUGUCCUAUCAGCUUGUUGGUGAGGAACGGCUCACCAAGGCUUCGACGGGUAGCUGGUCUGAGAGGACGAUCAGCCACACUGGCACUGCGACACGGGCCAGACUCCUACGGGAGGCAGCAGUAAGGAUAUCGCGCAAUGGGCGAAAGCCUGACGCAGCGACGCCGCGUGGGGGAUGAAGGUCUUCGGAUUGUAAACCCCUUUCGGG
Molecule: ribosomal RNA, 419 nt
Filed under: uncultured bacterium
Lineage: Bacteria
Description: bacterial SSU rRNA
Rfam family: Bacterial small subunit ribosomal RNA
Source: RNAcentral